AUGAUAGGUAUUUUUUGGAACAUUAGAGGGCUGAAUGGCCCAAAAGUGGACAAAUUGAAAGAGCUCAUUAGAGCCAAUAGUCCUGAUUUUGUUUGUAUUUCUGAGACCAAGAAAGAAGAGUUUACUCUUCUUCAACUUGAAGCUUUUGAUCCCAAAUCUGAAUUCCAAUGGAAAUGGCUUCCUGCAAUUAACACUGCAGGAGGGAUUUUAAUUGGAUGUAAACUAGAUAUAUUUGACUUAGUCCAAUGGGAUUUACAUAGAUUCAGUAUUUCUUGCCUACUUAAAAAUAAACAAGAUUCCUCUGUUUGGAGGCUUGUUAAUGUCUAUGGUUCUGCCUAUGACCAGUUUAAAAUGGAUUUCAUUAAUGAACUCCACUCUUUGCUGACUGACUGGACAGGGCCCACCCUGGUAGGGGGUGAUUUCAAUCCUAUUAGAGAGACUAGUGAUAAAAACACUGGUGCUAUUAAUCAACACUGGGCUGACCUCUUUAAUGAUUGGAUAAAUAGAUUUGGUUUAUUGGAGCUCAAGAUUAAUGAGAGGAAGUACACUUGGGGCAAUAACCAGGAUAAUCUAGUGAUGGCUACUAUAGAUAGAGUAUUUAUGUCCACUGACUGGGCUUCUGCUUCCCCUGGAGUGCACCUUAAAGCCUUGCCUAGGCUAGGGAGUGAUCACACUCCUCUGGUGCUCAAUACCUGUGCUUUUCCCAUCCCAAAGACCAAGCAUUUCAGAUUUGAAAAAUGGUGCUUGGAAGUAUAG
This 756-nucleotide ribosomal RNA is filed under the name Triticum aestivum (bread wheat). Its description in RNAcentral is "partial small subunit ribosomal RNA". The record is from RNAcentral. Lineage: Eukaryota; Viridiplantae; Streptophyta; Magnoliopsida; Poales; Poaceae.